RNAcentral lists this ribosomal RNA (406 nucleotides) under uncultured bacterium. RNAcentral describes it as "partial 16S ribosomal RNA". It matches the Rfam family "Bacterial small subunit ribosomal RNA", at positions 29 to 526 of the family's 1533-position model. The record is from RNAcentral.
AUUGAACGCUGGCGGCAGGCCUAACACAUGCAAGUCGAACGAGUGGCGGACGGGUGAGUAAUGUCUGGGAAACUGCCUGAUGGAGGGGGCUAACUACUGGAAACGGUAGCUAAUACCGCAUACCAUCAGAUGUGCCCAGAUGGGAUUAGAGAGGUGGUGGGGGAACGGCUCACCAAGGCGACGAUCCCUAGCUGGUCUGAGAGGAUGACAAGCCACAAUGGAACUGGAAAACGGUCCAGACUCCUACGGGAGGGAGCAGUGGGGAAUAGUGCACAAUGGGCGCAAGCCUGAUGCAGCCAUGCCGGGUGUAUGAAGAAGGCCUUCGGGUUGUAAAGUACUUUCAGCGGGGAGGCGUUACCCGCCGAAGAAGCACCGGCUAACACCGUGCCAGCAGCCGCGGUAAUUC